This 365-nucleotide ribosomal RNA is filed under the name Salmonella enterica. Its description in RNAcentral is "partial 23S ribosomal RNA". It matches the Rfam family "Bacterial large subunit ribosomal RNA", at positions 2449 to 2813 of the family's 2925-position model. Lineage: Bacteria; Pseudomonadati; Pseudomonadota; Gammaproteobacteria; Enterobacterales; Enterobacteriaceae. The record is from RNAcentral. RNAcentral also lists the same sequence under 1 other name.
UCAACGGAUAAAAGGUACUCCGGGGAUAACAGGCUGAUACCGCCCAAGAGUUCAUAUCGACGGCGGUGUUUGGCACCUCGAUGUCGGCUCAUCACAUCCUGGGGCUGAAGUAGGUCCCAAGGGUAUGGCUGUUCGCCAUUUAAAGUGGUACGCGAGCUGGGUUUAGAACGUCGUGAGACAGUUCGGUCCCUAUCUGCCGUGGGCGCUGGAGAACUGAGGGGGGCUGCUCCUAGUACGAGAGGACCGGAGUGGACGCAUCACUGGUGUUCGGGUUGUCAUGCCAAUGGCACUGCCCGGUAGCUAAAUGCGGAAGAGAUAAGUGCUGAAAGCAUCUAAGCACGAAACUUGCCCCGAGAUGAGUUCUC